This is a long non-coding RNA of Larimichthys crocea (large yellow croaker), 370 nucleotides long. RefSeq lists it as uncharacterized. Lineage: Eukaryota; Metazoa; Chordata; Actinopteri; Sciaenidae. The record is from RefSeq and is a predicted model, not a curated record. The transcript has 3 exons.
UCUGGAGCUCCAUCACGUUCUAUUUGUCUCCUCCCUGUAGGUUUAAUUUCGAAGACGAAACGCCGACAACCAACUUUGACACAUUCCCAGCAGCCAUUCUCACCGUCUUCCAGAUCCUAACCGGGGAGGACUGGAACGCAGUCAUGUACCACGGGAUCGAAUCACAGGGAGGCGUUCACGGGGGAAUGUUCUCCUCCAUUUAUUUCAUUGUUCUCACUCUCUUUGGAAACUACACACUCCUCAACGUGUUCUUGGCCAUCGCUGUUGAUAACCUUGCAAAUGCCCAGGAACUUACUAAGGUACAGUAUUAUUUAUUAGGUUAGAUUAUUACAUAUGCUGGCUUCAUAGCUGCUUACAGUUAGAGAUAGAA